This 343-nucleotide RNase P RNA is filed under the name Candidatus Avoscillospira stercorigallinarum. RNAcentral's name for it is "RNase P RNA component class A". It matches the Rfam family "Bacterial RNase P class A". Rfam says of the family: Ribonuclease P (RNase P) is a ubiquitous endoribonuclease, found in archaea, bacteria and eukarya as well as chloroplasts and mitochondria. Its best characterised activity is the generation of mature 5'-ends of tRNAs by cleaving the 5'-leader elements of precursor-tRNAs. Cellular RNase Ps are ribonucleoproteins. The record is from RNAcentral. Lineage: Bacteria; Bacillati; Bacillota; Clostridia; Eubacteriales; Oscillospiraceae.
CGACCGGGUCGGACAGUCGCGUGCGCAGUGCCCAACGGCCGCGUAUGAGGAAAGUCCGGGCUCCCCAGGGCAAGGAUAACGGGUAACGCCCGCCGAAGGCGACUUCAGGAAAAGUGCAACAGAGAUAUACCGCCUCGCAAGAGGUAAGGGUGGAAAGGUGCGGUAAGAGCGCACCCGAUGGCGUGGAAGCGUCCAUCGCUGCAAACUCUAUCCGGAGCAACACCGUGGAGGAAACAAGGCUGGCCCGGCUGUUUCCGAGGAGGUGGCUGGAUCGCCGCGGCAACGCGGCGGCUAGAUAGAUGACUGUCUGAGACAGAACCCGGCUUAUAGACCCGAUCGUGUA